GCCCGCUCGGAGCCCGCUCGGAGCCCGCUCGGAGCCCGCUCGGAGCCCGCUCGGAGCCCGCUCGGAGCCCGCUCGGCUCUCUGCGGAUCGGGGCGGCCCCGGGGAUCGCCCUCCUCGCUUCCAGCUCUCCUGCUUCCAGCUCUCCUACGGGCCCAUCCCGUUCGAGGAGGCUGCUGUGCAGGAAUUCGGACCGGCCCGAGUGGGAGACUCCUUCGGGCCCACGAGGCUCCCGUUCCAGACCUGCCUGCUGUGCAUUGGCUGCCAAUGACCGGUGACCCCUCGGGGCUGUGACUCCAGGUCCUCCCUCCAGCCCUGCUCCCCGGAGGGGAAGCAGCUGUGGUGGCAGGAGCAGAGAACCUGGAGCUAGAGGAUGUUUAAGGUUCCUUCCAAGCCAGGCCAUUCUGUGACCCUGUGAUCCUGCUGGCUCAAAGCACAGUGAGUCCCUGGGAGAGGCUGAAGCCGUGCCAAAGCCCUGCUGGUGUCUCCCUAUCCCAGGACGAUGGAAGCCACUCCAGGUGUGUAGGACUGGCAGCACGGAUUUUUGCAAGGAAAGCCGCCUCCUUUUGAGGAGACACAGUGCAGUGGUGAUGGCUGGCGUGGCUUACAAAAUCUGCUGACUUCUUUAUUUUUAAAAUCACAAUCUUCCCCCGCCUUUUAAGUCUCUGCCAGCGUUAAAUUUCUCUACUUAAAAAAAUAUAUAUCCCAUAUGUGGAUUUCUGGAUUGAAAUGCACCGAGACCUCCCCAGCCCCUUCUCCUCUUGCACACACGCACACACACACGCAGAGCAGCUCUGUCAAAUACUGGCUUGGUAUUUCCCAUGAUGUUUUCCCCAACACAGAAAGGGAAAAAUACAUCAGCACAAUCAGCUGCAGCUAAGUUGCUCAGCAACACUUCCAAAAAGCGAAGAUCCUUGGAGCUGGAAGACAAGGUGGAUAAAAGUUACCCACCAGGAAAAAAAGCCAAAAUUUUAAAAAAUUAAGAUUAUAUACUCUAUAUUUAUAUGUCUUUCAACCCCCAAACGCACACACGCCGCCUCUGCUGUUUCCUCUUGUCAACCUCAGAAAAGGGGUUGGAUUACACCUCCCACUUCCCUCCCCUUUCCCACCCCAAAAGCUGCAUGCUGCAACAGUGCCUUUCAGACAGGAACACGGCUGGGGGUGAGCGAGUUUCUUCCUCCAGUUAAGAACAAAGACAUUAUUUUUUUUAUUUACAAAAAAAGGAGAAAAAAGUUUCCACACAAAAGCACUACAAUGAUAACUCCCUUUGGUAAAAAGUGUAAUAAAUGUCUCCAUCGGUCUGUCUGUCGGUACUAAUUCUCAAGCCACCUGGUACUAUGGUACACAAGAAGCUAGUACAGUUAUGCUAGCACAUCAAGCAUAAUUCCUUUAAUUAAAAAAAAAACAAAACCAAAAAACAAAAAGAAAAAACCAAAAAAUUGACAAUUUGUACAUUUAUUUACAAAAAAGGAGGGGAACAUGUUAAAAUCGUGUUGUUCUCUGCUGUGUGUGUGUACGUACAUGUGUGUGAAAAGCUGGUGCAUGGCACUAGGAGAGACUAGUAAACAAGCAGGUACAAAAAAAAAAAAAAAACAAAAACAAAA
Molecule: long non-coding RNA, 1601 nt
Organism: Prinia subflava (tawny-flanked prinia)
Lineage: Eukaryota; Metazoa; Chordata; Aves; Passeriformes; Cisticolidae
Exons: 2
Source: RefSeq, a predicted model, not a curated record